UACGUAGGGUGCAAGCGUUAUCCGGAAUUAUUGGGCGUAAAGAGCUCGUAGGCGGUUUGUCGCGUCUGCUGUGAAAAACUCGGGGGCUUAACCCCCGGGCCUGCAGUGGGUACGGGGCAGACUAGAGUUCGGUAGGGGAGUCUGGAAUUCCUGGUGUAGCGGUGAAAUGCGCAGAUAUCAGGAGGAACACCGGUGGCGAAGGCGGGGACUCUGGGCCGAUACUGACGCUGAGGAGCGAAAGCGUGGGGAGCGAACAGG
Molecule: ribosomal RNA, 258 nt
Filed under: uncultured bacterium
Lineage: Bacteria
Description: partial 16S ribosomal RNA
Rfam family: Bacterial small subunit ribosomal RNA
Source: RNAcentral